AUACGGAGGGUGCAAGCGUUAUCCGGAUUUAUUGGGUUUAAAGGGUCCGUAGGCGGAUCUGUAAGUCAGUGGUGAAAUCUCAUAGCUUAACUAUGAAACUGCCAUUGAUACUGCAGGUCUUGAGUAAGGUAGAAGUAGCUGGAAUAAGUAGUGUAGCGGUGAAAUGCAUAGAUAUUACUUAGAACACCAAUUGCGAAGGCAGGUUACUAUGUCUUAACUGACGCUGAUGGACGAAAGCGUGGGGAGCGAACAGGAUUAGAUACCCGAGUAGUCC
This 274-nucleotide ribosomal RNA is filed under the name uncultured bacterium. RNAcentral's name for it is "partial 16S ribosomal RNA". It matches the Rfam family "Bacterial small subunit ribosomal RNA", at positions 523 to 796 of the family's 1533-position model. The record is from RNAcentral.